RNAcentral lists this ribosomal RNA (468 nucleotides) under uncultured bacterium. RNAcentral's name for it is "partial 16S ribosomal RNA". It matches the Rfam family "Bacterial small subunit ribosomal RNA", at positions 28 to 507 of the family's 1533-position model. The record is from RNAcentral.
GAUGAACGCUGGCGGCGUGCUUAACACAUGCAAGUCGAACGGAAAGGCCCUGCUUUUGUGGGGUGCUCGAGUGGCGAACGGGUGAGUAACACGUGAGUAACCUGCCCUUGACUUUGGGAUAACUUCAGGAAACUGGGGCUAAUACCGGAUAGGAGCUCCUGCUGCAUGGUGGGGGUUGGAAAGUUUCGGCGGUUGGGGAUGGACUCGCGGCUUAUCAGCUUGUUGGGGUGGUAGUGGCUUACCAAGGCUUUGACGGGUAGCCGGCCUGGGAGGGUGACCGGCCCCAUUGGGACGGAGAUACGGCCCGGACCCCUACGGGAGGCAGCAGUGGGGUAUAUUGCACAAUGGGCUGAAGCCUAAUGCAGCAACGCCGCGUGCGGGAUGACGGCCUUCGGGUUGUAAACCGCUUUCGCCUGUGACGAAGCGUUAGUGACGGUAAUGGGUAAAGAAGCACCGGCUAACUACGUG